Long non-coding RNA from Bombus pascuorum, 704 nucleotides. RefSeq lists it as uncharacterized. The transcript is spliced from 2 exons. The record is from RefSeq and is a predicted model, not a curated record. NCBI's taxonomy places the organism in Eukaryota, Metazoa, Arthropoda, Insecta, Hymenoptera, Apidae.
GCUUCGUAUACGUUCGACGUGGUUCGUGUAUACCUUACGUAGAUAGAUAGGUCGGAAAGAAGGUGGUAAGGGAUAUAAAUCGCUUUGCAUGUGAACAUGUACGCGAGAGAGUAGCUUGUGUUCGGUGGAACACAUCGGUAUGUCGGGUACCGUAACUCGACUGUCGCCAAUGACUCGGAUCGAAGCCAAAGCUCUCAGAUCCGUUGCUGGAAAAGCAGUUGAACCGUGGACCAUCGCAUUGGCUUUUACAUAAAUCAAACGCUGCAUUAUGACUGGGAAAUGUAUAAUAGAGAGUUGAAAAGAUGACAAGCAAAGGAAUGUGGGUCUGAUUGGUUAUUUCUUUGUAGACUCAGCACAAAACAGCAACGUAAAGAUAAACACGUGUAUUGACCGAAAGUGUCACAUAAAACAAUAUGGCAAGACGUAACUAACGAUGGGGCAGCCAUAAACUUAAAUGCCUCGCAAAUUCUAUCCGUGAAAAUAUCCGUGGUACGAGAAAAAUUCGACAAUAACGCUGCAACCGCUGCAGGUGUGUACCGUGCGAAGCAGUACCACUUCGCAAAACUGUCUCUUCCCUUUCUACUUCUCCUUUCGAGUGCUGGCAUAAUCGCGCGCUGUUGGAAAACAUUUCAAACUCUUCAGUGUAGAUAUUCAAAGAAACUUUCAUCAAAAGUGACAAGCAUCUCUUGUGAACGGAUAUUCUA